Molecule: ribosomal RNA, 406 nt
Filed under: uncultured bacterium
Lineage: Bacteria
Description: partial 16S ribosomal RNA
Rfam family: Bacterial small subunit ribosomal RNA
Source: RNAcentral
AUUGAACGCUGGCGGCAGGCCUAACACAUGCAAGUCGAACGAGUGGCGGACGGGUGAGAAAUGUCUGGGAAACUGCCAGAUGGAGGGGGAUAACUACUGGAAAAGGUAGCUAAUACCGCAUAACAUCGGAUGUGACCAGAUGGGAUUAGCUAGUAGGUGGGUGAACGGCUCACCUAGGCGACGAUCCCUAGCUGGUAUGAGAGGAUGACCAGCCACACGGGAACUGAGACACGGUCCAGACUACUACGGGAGGCAGCAGUGGGGAAUAUUGCACAAGGGGCGUAAGCCUGAUGCAGCCAUGCCGCGUGUAUGAAGAAGGCCUGCGGGUUGUAAAGUACUUUCAGCGGGGAGGCGUUACCCGCAGAAGAAGCACCGGCUAACUCCGUGCCAGCCGCCGCGGUAAUAC